This 1989-nucleotide long non-coding RNA is filed under the name Lactuca sativa (garden lettuce). RNAcentral describes it as "long non-coding RNA (LSAT_LNC004907)". The record is from RNAcentral. Lineage: Eukaryota; Viridiplantae; Streptophyta; Magnoliopsida; Asterales; Asteraceae.
GAAUACUUAAUUUUUUUUUUAAUACCAUAUAUUUAUACAAAACUCAGGCCUAUGAUGUCCCACCUCCCCAUGUUUUAAUUUGCAACACUACCUUGUCGUUGUUUUUGUAAGAAUAGCUACCAUUUGUUUUACCCAAUAUACUCACGUCUCUAAAACACUUUCCGUCUUAAUAACGGAUGACUACGUGAUCUUUUUGUCAACUGUCAACAAGGUCGGUCUGUUGUUUUUUACUACCCAGGACAAAAUAAGAAAUUUAUGCCCUUAUAUAUACCAUACGAUAAAGAAAACUUGUCUAUAAAAUAUUUAUAAAAUAAAAAAUGCAGUAAAUAUUAUAAUCAAACAAAUAGUAGAAUAAAAAACCUACAAAAAUCACCUAAAAUGACGUCUGUAUGUACUUUUUUGAAGCUAAAACAUCUCUUAUUUUACAAUAAUUAAUAUUUUGAAAAAAAUCACUUUCAAUACUUAAAAAUGCUAAUAUAUUCAAUCUUUUCUUGAGUCAUGGUAAAUAUACAAUUUCAAGACCUUCAAUUUUGAAAAAUUUCCUUCCGCGGAAGCAACCAUAACCUGCACAAUCAACAAUAUCAUAUACACAACCAAAACAUUAGUGAACAUAUAUAUUAUUCUUGCAUACUCCACUCUUCUUGUUCUCUUUUUGUUUUCUAUUUUGAGCAGCACCUUAUGGUUGUUUUCAGAGAAACAUAUAUAUAACUCAAAAAAUCUAAUUAUAAAAUUUAAGCAACAAAAAGAUACAACAUGUCCAAAGUUUAUGUUUUCCCCUUUCAAGAUGUCAAGAGAUCUGAAAAAUAAACCAGAUAAUAAAAAAUAAGAAUCUAUUUUUCAAAACUAUUAUAUAUUAUAACAAUGGAAUACAUUUAUACCUUUUUGCUACUCACUAAAAGUAUAGAUAGUAAAAAAACAGAAAUAAGAACUCAUAUGUUCAAUAAAUAAUUAAACUUCUUUCUGCUUCCUGAUUCAAAUAAAAAACAAGAACACAAAAGGUUAGAAGACAAAUUAAAAAAAAAUGAUGAGAAGGCAUAGAUUUUGGUUUAAACAUUGGAGAAAUUUUUAACUUUCAACUACGUCUAAAAGUCAAGCAAGAUAGUAAAAAAGACAUAAAUCAGAACUCAGAAGUUCAAAAGAUAAUUAAAUGUCUUUCCUCCUCCUCAUUCACAUCAAAAAACAAGAACACAACGGUUUACAAGACAAAUUAAAAAAAAAAAAAAACAAAAAACAAAAAACAAAAAAAAACAAACAAACAAACGAGAAUGCAACAAUUUUUUUUACCUAAAUUAGAUACAAACCAACAACAGCUUGACUUAGAAUCUAAAGCUCAAACACAGGAAUCAAAUACAAAACAACAACAUAUUUUUGCUUCAACUAAUCAUAUAGUAUUUGGGAGUUUAACACUUUUAACUGAACUCGAAUUCAACAUGUAAAGAUAAAAAAAAUUGACCCAAAUAAAAGAAAAGAAUCCAUAAAUCAGAAACAAUUAACAAAAUAUGAAGUUAAGAAAAAAAUAAAAAAAGUACUCCCUGAAGAGUGAAGAGAUUCAUUCAUUCGGAUAUCAAAAAAAUCCAAUACGUGACGCUCUGUUGUAAUGCCUAAUCGGAACUCGGAACCCAGAUUGCGAGAUUGAAACUUGAAAAAAAUCAAACUCUGAGAGCAGGUGAUGCUCGAUUGAAUGCACAAAAGGUUUAGAGAGAUCGAGAGAAAAGAAAUCAGAUAUCUAUUUGAUUUAGAAUGCGAAAUUGAGAAUAGAAUUCAUAUACCGAUUUACUGAUUUAGAAUUUGACUCCUCGAUCCCAACAUAUCGCUCAACGAUUUUCAGUUUUCAAGGGUGUUACCGAUUACCGAUUUUGACGAUUGAAAAUCUCAAGAACUUUGAUUAUUUGUUGGAGGCUUUCAGUGAAAUUAUGCCCCAGUACGUUGAUUUCUUCGUGAGCACAACUCACAAAUGGACUGAACUUCCAACAUAGUAUAGUAUAUAGU